CGGCGGACGGGUGAGUAACGCGUGGGUAACCUGCCCCAUACAGGGGGAUAACAGUUGGAAACGGCUGCUAAUACCGCAUAAGCGCACAGUACCGCAUGGUACGGUGUGAAAAACUCCGGUGGUAUGAGAUGGACCCGCGUCUGAUUAGCUAGUUGGUGGGGUAACGGCCUACCAAGGCGACGAUCAGUAGCCGGCCUGAGAGGGUGGACGGCCACAUUGGGACUGAGACACGGCCCAA
RNAcentral lists this ribosomal RNA (238 nucleotides) under uncultured bacterium. Its description in RNAcentral is "partial 16S ribosomal RNA". It matches the Rfam family "Bacterial small subunit ribosomal RNA", at positions 96 to 334 of the family's 1533-position model. The record is from RNAcentral.